AUAAUGGGUCAGCGACUUAUAUUCUGUAGCAAGGUUAACCGAAUAGGGGAGCCGAAGGGAAACCGAGUCUUAACUGGGCGUUAAGUUGCAGGGUAUAGACCCGAAACCCGGUGAUCUAGCCAUGGGCAGGUUGAAGGUUGGGUAACACUAACUGGAGGACCGAACCGACUAAUGUUGAAAAAUUAGCGGAUGACUUGUGGCUGGGGGUGAAAGGCCAAUCAAACCGGGAGAUAGCUGGUUCUCCCCGAAAGCUAUUUAGGUAGCGCCUCGUGAAUUCAUCUCCGGGGGUAGAGCACUGUUUCGGCAAGGGGGUCAUCCCGACUUACCAACCCGAUGCAAACUGCGAAUACCGGAGAAUGUUAUCACGGGAGACACACGGCGGGUGCUAACGUCCGUCGUGAAGAGGGAAACAACCCAGACCGCCAGCUAAGGUCCCAAAGUCAUGGUUAAGUGGGAAACGAUGUGGGAAGGCCCAGACAGCCAGGAUGUUGGCUUAGAAGCAGCCAUCAUUUAAAGAAAGCGUAAUAGCUCACUGGUCGAGUCGGCCUGCGCGGAAGAUGUAACGGGGCUAAACCAUGCACCGAAGCUGCGGCAGCGACGCUGAUGCGUUGUUGGGUAGGGGAGCGUUCUGUAAGCCUGCGAAGGUGUGCUGUGAGGCAUGCUGGAGGUAUCAGAAGUGCGAAUGCUGACAUAAGUAACGAUAAAGCGGGUGAAAAGCCCGCUCGCCGGAAGACCAAGGGUUCCUGUCCAACGUUAAUCGGGGCAGGGUGAGUCGACCCCUAAGGCGAGGCCGAAAGGCGUAGUCGAUGGGAAACAGGUUAAUAUUCCUGUACUUGGUGUUACUGCGAAGGGGGGACGGAGAAGGCUAUGUUGGCCGGGCGACGGUUGUCCCGGUUUAAGCGUGUAGGCUGGUUUUCCAGGCAAAUCCGGAAAAUCAAGGCUGAGGCGUGAUGACGAGGCACUGCGGUGCUGAAGCAACAAAUGCCCUGCUUCCAGGAAAAGCCUCUAAGCAUCAGGUAACAUCAAAUCGUACCCCAAACCGACACAGGUGGUCAGGUAGAGAAUACCAAGGCGCUUGAGAGAACUCGGGUGAAGGAACUAGGCAAAAUGGUGCCGUAACUUCGGGAGAAGGCACGCUGAUAUGUAGGUGAAGUCCCUCGCGGAUGGAGCUGAAAUCAGUCGAAGAUACCAGCUGGCUGCAACUGUUUAUUAAAAACACAGCACUGUGCAAACACGAAAGUGGACGUAUACGGUGUGACGCCUGCCCGGUGCCGGAAGGUUAAUUGAUGGGGUUAGCGCAAGCGAAGCUCUUGAUCGAAGCCCCGGUAAACGGCGGCCGUAACUAUAACGGUCCUAAGGUAGCGAAAUUCCUUGUCGGGUAAGUUCCGACCUGCACGAAUGGCGUAAUGAUGGUCAGGCUGUCUCCACCCGAGACUCAGUGAAAUUGAACUCGCUGUGAAGAUGCAGUGUACCCGCGGCAAGACGGAAAGACCCCGUGAACCUUUACUAUAGCUUGACACUGAACAUUGAGCCUUGAUGUGUAGGAUAGGUGGGAGGCUU
This 1560-nucleotide ribosomal RNA is filed under the name Escherichia coli. RNAcentral's name for it is "partial 23S ribosomal RNA". It matches the Rfam family "Bacterial large subunit ribosomal RNA", at positions 612 to 2157 of the family's 2925-position model. Lineage: Bacteria; Pseudomonadati; Pseudomonadota; Gammaproteobacteria; Enterobacterales; Enterobacteriaceae. The record is from RNAcentral.